CAAUUGCCACCAACCAGUUUCUGUACUUUAUUGGACUACACUCACACU
RNAcentral lists this non-coding RNA (48 nucleotides) under Platyophrya macrostoma. The record is from RNAcentral. Lineage: Eukaryota; Ciliophora; Colpodea; Cyrtolophosidida; Platyophryidae.